CAUGGUUCAGACAUAAAAGGUGGCUUCGGCUACCACUUACAGAUGGACCCGCGGCGCAUUAGCUAGUUGGUGAGGUAACGGCUCACCAAGGCGACGAUGCGUAGCCGACCUGAGAGGGUGAUCGGCCACACUGGGACUGAGACACGGCCCAGACUCCUACGGGAGGCAGCAGUAGGGAAUCUUCCGCAAUGGACGAAAGUCUGACGGAGCAACGCCGCGUGAGUGAUGAAGGUUUUCGGAUCGUAAAGCUCUGUUGUUAGGGAAGAACAAGUGCCGUUCAAAUAGGGCGGCACCUUGACGGUACCUAACCAGAAAGCCACGGCUAACUACGUGCCAGCAGCCGCGGUAAUACGUAGGUGGCAAGCGUUGUCCGGAAUUAUUGGGCGUAAAGGGCUCGCAGGCGGUUUCUUAAGUCUGAUGUGAAAGCCCCCGGCUCAACCGGGGAGGGUCAUUGGAAACUGGGGAACUUGAGUGCAGAAGAGGAGAGUGCAGAAGAGGAGAGUGGAAUUCCACGUGUAGCGGUGAAAUGCGUAGAGAUGUGGAGGAACACCAGUGGCGAAGGCGACUCUCUGGUCUGUAACUGACGCUGAGGAGCGAAAGCGUGGGGAGCGAACAGGAUUAGAUACCCUGGUAGUCCACGCCGUAAACGAUGAGUGCUAAGUGUUAGGGGGUUUCCGCCCCUUAGUGCUGCAGCUAACGCAUUAAGCACUCCGCCUGGGGAGUACGGUCGCAAGACUGAAACUCAAAGGAAUUGACGGGGGCCCGCACAAGCGGUGGAGCAUGUGGUUUAAUUUGAAGCAACGCGAAGAACCUUACCAGGUCUUGACAUCCUCUGACAAUCCUAGAGAUAGGACGUCCCCUUCGGGGGCAGAGUGACAGGUGGUGCAUGGUUGUCGUCAGCUCGUGUCGUGAGAUGUUGGGUUAAGUCCCGCAACGAGCGCAACCCUUGAUCUUAGUUGCCAGCAUUCAGUUGGGCACUCUAAGGUGACUGCCGGUGACAAACCGGAGGAAGGUGGGGAUGACGUCAAAUCAUCAUGCCCCUUAUGACCUGGGCUACACACGUGCUACAAUGGACAGAACAAAGGGCAGCGAAACCGCGAGGUUAAGCCAAUCCCACAAAUCUGUUCUCAGUUCGGAUCGCA
RNAcentral lists this ribosomal RNA (1142 nucleotides) under Bacillus vallismortis. RNAcentral's name for it is "bacterial SSU rRNA". It matches the Rfam family "Bacterial small subunit ribosomal RNA", at positions 188 to 1302 of the family's 1533-position model. Lineage: Bacteria; Bacillati; Bacillota; Bacilli; Caryophanales; Bacillaceae. The record is from RNAcentral.